UACGUAGGGAGCAAGCGUUGUCCGGAAUCAUUGGGCGUAAAGCGCGCGUAGGUGGCCCCAUAAGUCCGCUGUGAAAGUCAAAGGCUCAACCUUUGAAAGCCGGUGGAUACUGUGGGACUAGAGUACGGAAGAGGCGAGUGGAAUUCCUGGUGUAGCGGUGGAAUGCGCAGAUAUCAGGAGGAACACCGGUGGUGUAGACGGCUCACUGGACCGUAACUGACGCUGAGACACGAAAGCGUGGGUAGCAAACAGG
RNAcentral lists this ribosomal RNA (253 nucleotides) under uncultured bacterium. RNAcentral's name for it is "partial 16S ribosomal RNA". It matches the Rfam family "Bacterial small subunit ribosomal RNA", at positions 524 to 776 of the family's 1533-position model. The record is from RNAcentral.